GAUUAGUCCAUAUUUUUGCAAAUUUAAGUGCCUAUUUUUUGUUUAUUUUCGUAGUAUUAAUCGCUUAUUUAUUUUAUUUCAGGAAAUUGUAGAUAAAUAAAGAAGGAAGAGAAAAUGCAAGAAAAAGAAGAAAAAGAAAAAGGGUUGGCAAGUAAAGGACACAUGGAUGGCCACAAUUCUCCCAACACUCAAGGCACAUGGAUGGUCAAGAU
This 212-nucleotide long non-coding RNA is filed under the name Daucus carota (carrot). RNAcentral describes it as "long non-coding RNA (DCAR_LNC003636)". Lineage: Eukaryota; Viridiplantae; Streptophyta; Magnoliopsida; Apiales; Apiaceae. The record is from RNAcentral.